AGAGUUUGAUCCUGGCUCAGGAUGAACGCUGGCGGCGUGCCUAACACAUGCAAGUCGAACGAAGCGCUUUAUUACGAUUUCUUCGGAAUGACGAUUGAGUGACUGAGUGGCGGACGGGUGAGUAACGCGUGGAUAACCUGCCCCAUACAGGGGGAUAACAGUUAGAAAUGACUGCUAAUACCGCAUAAGCGCACAGUAUCGCAUGAUACAGUGUGAAAAACUCCGGUGGUAUGGGAUGGAUCCGCGUCUGAUUAGCCAGUUGGCGGGGUAGAGGCCCACCAAAGCGACGAUCAGUAGCCGACCUGAGAGGGUGACCGGCCACAUUGGGACUGAGACACGGCCCAAACUCCUACGGGAGGCAGCAGUGGGGAAUAUUGCACAAUGGGGGAAACCCUGAUGCAGCGACGCCGCGUGAGCGAAGAAGUAUUUCGGUAUGUAAAGCUCUAUCAGCAGGGAAGAAGAAAGUGACGGUACCUGACUAAGAAGCUCCGGCUAAAUACGUGCCAGCAGCCGCGGU
Molecule: ribosomal RNA, 517 nt
Filed under: uncultured chicken cecal bacterium
Lineage: Bacteria
Description: bacterial SSU rRNA
Rfam family: Bacterial small subunit ribosomal RNA
Source: RNAcentral